UUGUAAUCCACUCCCACCGCUUAAUUUUGCUCUGGUUUAUCAUAAUACCAUAAUUUUGCUCUACUUCAGCCUCUUGUUUUCUGCAAAAUUCGCCCAUCUUCUCUUCUUACUCGCUUAACCCUUGUGAUUUUUACCGUGCUUUUUGCUUUCAUAAAUUGAAUCCCAAUUUCUGGAAUAUAAACUGAUAUUUUUGACAGUAAAUUGACGUUUUGCUGAGUUUUUUGCAGUUUCACAUUUGCUCACUAAGAUGAAAGAUUUUGUUUUAUCUCAAGUUUAUCGAUUUUGCUGCUACUUUCGACAUCAUUGGUCAAUUGAAGCUCUUUGUGUAAGAAACCUGGGUCACUGACUUGAACGCACGUUCACGAAAGACUUAAAAUUGAUGUUUGAUUCGCUAGCUGCACAAAUUCUCCUUCUAUUUUCAGAACAAGAGUUUCUUUUGGCAACCGAUUUACCCGAAUACUUUCGAUUGGAAUAAAGGAGAGUGGACAUCGACUGGGAUUAAUAAGUUGAAAAGAUUUGGUACAUUAUACCUUUUCUAGAUGCUCUCCAGAUGAGUGCAAAUACGUGUAGUUUUUGAAUUUUCAUGGUUAAAUCUGUUGGCACUCUAAAGUGAAUUACAGAAUGCAAAUGAUGAAUUAAGUAUGUUGGAGUUUUUUUUCUCAA
Long non-coding RNA from Nicotiana attenuata, 663 nucleotides. RefSeq lists it as uncharacterized. The transcript has 4 exons. Lineage: Eukaryota; Viridiplantae; Streptophyta; Magnoliopsida; Solanales; Solanaceae. The record is from RefSeq and is a predicted model, not a curated record.